This 1667-nucleotide long non-coding RNA is filed under the name Mus musculus (house mouse). RNAcentral describes it as "RIKEN cDNA C030005K06 gene (C030005K06Rik)". Lineage: Eukaryota; Metazoa; Chordata; Mammalia; Rodentia; Muridae. The record is from RNAcentral.
ACAUUCCUGCGCUGAACUUGGCGGAGUCCAGCGGCUGGCGUACCUUCCCUGGGCUCCUCCGCUUCGGAGAGCAUGCUGUCGGGGUGCACAGCCACAGGCGCCACCGCCACGGACAUGGACGUGAGGCUGCGAGGCUCCUAGACGACAUCCGGCUUUGCCUUCCCUCUUCCGCUGGCCAGAUGUCCACAGAUGUCCACCUGGGCCUCGGAGGAACCUCGCCACAGCUGUUUGCUACACAAAUGAGAUGCCUUCGGCGGAUCUAGAGCUGGAGUGAAGAAGCAGCACCUUUUGAAGCUACAUCCUCUUUUGGCCUCUCUCAAAGCCAGACUCAGGCCUCUCCUUUUCAACGAAGCCUACGGAGGCCAGUGGUGAAUUUCUCCAAGCAACUUCUACUAUUGACCUAUAAUACAUGUUGGGUCCUUUGAAGAGGCUAUAUAACCAAUAAAAUAAUCAUUUCAACAUUUAAUUAUACAUGAGCUAUGACAACAUGUAAGAAUAAACUGUAUUUCCUCCACCCAUAAAGUAUAUUAUGGAACCAUCAAAAAAAAAACCAAAUCUGCUAUCUUCAAAGAAAAAAACAAAGUUUAAAGGAGCAUUCGCUUGCACUGGAGACCAAGGCUGGUAAUCUGCAACUAUUCAUAAAUCUAACAAGUUUCCAAAAAUUCCUUCAGAAAAGGAGCCAAGAGGAACGCAACUCUGCCAGCUGCAAGCCUUCUGUUUUACAGCGUGUGCCGAGUGGACGUACUUGCUUUAUCAUCCCCAUAAACAGAGUGUGGGGGUACAUGCAACCUUCCCAGAAGAUGUUCGAGUCAACAAACGGGCUGUGCUUCCCCAUAAGGAGGCACCUAACUAGCUCCCUCAUCAACUACACAGCCCACUACCAUUGGCAUCCAGACCCUUUAGUACGACAGAUUGAGCAACACUCCACUUCAGCUGAUGGAGUUUCCAGAACCAGGAAGGUAUCGGCAGCUGCUACCACUUGACAGAGCAAAAAGUCGCCAUCGUCACGUUGAAAACUUUGUUUCCUUAAGUUAAGAACUAACAUCCGGCUAUGCCACCAACACGCACACACUAAUAAAUCCCAGAUGGGAAUUCCAGACACCUCUUCACUCAAGCCAUGAAUUUCCUUCAGGCGACCACAUUCUAUUAAGCUGGACUCCCAGUAGUGAGCCGACCUUCAGAGACUGCCUUCAUUUACAAUACAUUGUGCUUUGUGGAGCAGGUUCUACAUCCAUCUUUGCAUAACAUGUAAUUAAUUUUGACACUUUUUUAAUGCAUGAAAAAAAUCUGUUAGCAUAAGAAGGCAGCAAAUUAAGAAAGCUGGUCCCGUGGAAGCAGAAACGAUGAAUAUUGGCCACUAGAGGCACAAGGGGAGGGAGCGGGUAAUGGGUACAAAAGAGAUUUGCACGGGAAGAAUACUACAGGAUGGAUGAAUGAACAUCAUUUACAAAAAUGAAUUAUUUAUUGUAUAAGGAACCAGAAGAGAAGAGUCCAAAGUUUCCCAUCAUAUAGAAAUGAUAACUGUUUCAGGGGUUGGAAAUAACAGUUACCUUGAUUUUAUCUUUAGACAUUUUAUAAGUAUAUGAACGUGAAAUCACCACACUGUAAGUAUGCCCAAAUAACAUUUUAAUUAAAUAUGAAGAAGAGAAAAUUCUUUUAAAACGGAA